GGGGAAUAUUGCACAAUGGGCGAAAGCCUGAUGCAGCGACGCCGCGUGAGGGAUGAAGGCCUUCGGGUUGUAAACCUUUUUCGCCCCUGAACAAGGCACCAUUUUGGUGGUGUUGAGGGUAGGGGGUAAAGAAGCUCCGGCUAACUACGUGCCAGCAGCCGCGGUAAUACGUAGGGAGCGAGCGUUGUCCGGAAUUAUUGGGCGUAAAGGGCUUGUAGGUGGCUUGUCGCGUCUGCCGUGAAAGGCUUCAGCUUAACUGGAGUAGUGCGGUGGGUACGGGCUGGCUUGAGUGUGGUAGGGGAGACUGGAAUUCCUGGUGUAGCGGUGGAAUGCGCAGAUAUCAGGAGGAACACCGGUGGCGAAGGCGGGUCUCUGGGCCAUUACUGACACUGAGGAGCGAAAGCGUGGGGAGCGAACA
RNAcentral lists this ribosomal RNA (418 nucleotides) under uncultured Actinomycetales bacterium. Its description in RNAcentral is "bacterial SSU rRNA". It matches the Rfam family "Bacterial small subunit ribosomal RNA", at positions 356 to 774 of the family's 1533-position model. The record is from RNAcentral. Lineage: Bacteria; Bacillati; Actinomycetota; Actinomycetes; Actinomycetales.